GGAAGGGAAACGCUCCCGGUGGGGCGGCUGGACUUCAAAUCCAGUAAGGGUCGUUGGACGGUCCUUCGUGGGUUCGACUCCCACUCUCUUCCGCCA
This 96-nucleotide transfer RNA is filed under the name Vineibacter terrae. RNAcentral's name for it is "Enhydrobacter sp. CC-CFT640 tRNA-Sec". It matches the Rfam family "Selenocysteine transfer RNA". Lineage: Bacteria; Pseudomonadati; Pseudomonadota; Alphaproteobacteria; Hyphomicrobiales. The record is from RNAcentral.